RNAcentral lists this ribosomal RNA (683 nucleotides) under Spinocalanus spinosus. RNAcentral describes it as "eukaryotic LSU rRNA". It matches the Rfam family "Eukaryotic large subunit ribosomal RNA", at positions 1 to 550 of the family's 3401-position model. The record is from RNAcentral. Lineage: Eukaryota; Metazoa; Arthropoda; Copepoda; Calanoida; Spinocalanidae.
UCGACCUGAGAUCAGAUAAGAUUACCCGCCGAAUUUAAGCAUAUUAAUAAGCGGAGGAAAAGAAAACAACUGUGAUUCCCCUAGUAAUGGCGAAUGAAACGGGAUCAGCCCAUCGCGUAACUGCAGGUCAUCUUGGCCUCGUGGCAUGUCGCGUUUGGGAUAGUCUCAUCGGGAGCCGGUCUGCCAGUCAAAGUCCAACUUGACAGUGGCCACUGCCCACAGAGGGUGAUAGGCCUGUAAGGCGGCGGUCCGCUCCUGCCGACUUUUCCCCAGAGUCGGGUUGCUUGGGAGUGCAGCCCAAAGUGCGAGGUAAACUCCUCGUAAGGCUAAAUACGACCCCGAGACCGAUAGCAAACAAGUACCGUGAGGGAAAAUUGAAAAGAACUUUGAAGAGAGAGUUCAAUAGUACGUGAAACUGUGUGGUGGUAAACGGAGGGGUUCUCGAAGUCUCCGUGGGGUACUCAACCUUGGUGGCGGGCAGCUGGGCCGAGUGCGAUCCGCAAAGACGCCUCGGCCUGCUGCAGCCUGCCUCUCGGGUGCAUUUCCCCCGCGGUUCACGGCAGGAACCGUUGCGACCGGACCGAAGGCCCCGAGUGAAGUUGUCGCUUAUGGUGGCAGCCCUGGGUGUCCUGGCUCUGGCUGUGACGGGUACGUGAGAGGACUCGUAUAGCGAGCAACGCUCU